UACGUAGGGUGCGAGCGUUAUUCGGAAUUACUGGGCGUAAAGUGUGCGCAGGCGGCCGCGCAAGUCGAGUGUGAAAUCCCCGAGCUUAACUUGGGAAUUGCGCUCGAAACUACGUGGCUGGAGUGUGGCAGAGGAAGGUGGAAUUCCACGUGUAGCGGUGAAAUGCGUAGAGAUGUGGAGGAACACCGAUGGCGAAGGCAGCCUUCUGGGCCAACACUGACGCUCAUGCACGAAAGCGUGGGGAGCAAACAGG
RNAcentral lists this ribosomal RNA (253 nucleotides) under uncultured bacterium. Its description in RNAcentral is "partial 16S ribosomal RNA". It matches the Rfam family "Bacterial small subunit ribosomal RNA", at positions 524 to 776 of the family's 1533-position model. The record is from RNAcentral.